CUUGGUCAUUUAGAGGAAGUAAAAGUCGUAACAAGGUUUCCGUUGGUGAACCAGCGGAAGGAUCAUUACAGAAUUGCCCCAUUUUUUGAAAUGGGUUCUAUUCCCAAACCGUGUAUACAUACCUUUGUUGCUUUGGCAAGCCGUCCUUCGGGCGCAGCUUCGGCUGAGAGCGCUUGCCAGAGGACCCCAACUCUUUUGUUUAGUGAUGUCUGAGUACUAUAUAAUAGUUAAAACUUUCAACAACGGAUCUCUUGGUUCUGGCAUCGAUGAAGAACGCAGCGAAAUGCGAUAAGUAAUGUGAAUUGCAGAAUUCAGUGAAUCAUCGAAUCUUUGAACGCACAUUGCGCCCCUUGGUAUUCCGAGGGGCAUGCCUGUUCGAGCGUCAUUAUGACCACUCAAGCCUAGCUUGGUAUUGGGGUUCGCGGUCUCGCGGCUCUUAAAAUCAGUGGCGGUGCCAUCUGGCUCUAAGCGUAGUAAUUCUCUCGCUAUAGGGCUCCGGUAGUUGCUUGCCAAAACCCCCCUAUUUCUCACGGUUGACCUCGGAUCAGGUAGGGAUACCCGCUGAACUUAAGCAUAUCAAUAAGCGGAGGA
This 591-nucleotide ribosomal RNA is filed under the name uncultured Rhizoscyphus. Its description in RNAcentral is "eukaryotic LSU rRNA". The stretch from base 232 to 385 matches the Rfam family "5.8S ribosomal RNA". The record is from RNAcentral. Lineage: Eukaryota; Fungi; Ascomycota; Leotiomycetes; Helotiales; Helotiaceae.